CCACAAGCGAACGCCAGGCGGUGGCACGUGUCAAUUUCCACAGAGUCCUGCUUUGCGGGGUGUCUGAAUGCACUGCACGGGGUCUCUGCUCACACUUGCUGGAACCAAUCGUGGCAGAUUUUAGUCCACAGGUCGCUUUUCCCCAUAUUUCUUUGUAAACUCUUCAGCAUUCUUACAGAAUUUUUUACGGUCCUUAGAGUAUUCUUCAGCUAGGUCAGCCCGAAGCGGGUGCUUGGGCUGGGGGUCAUUCACCAGUGCUAUGAGGGACUGGAUUACUUGGUCGGUUUUGGUUGCUGGCUUCCAGUUUUCAGCACUAAUUACUGGCAGACAGACCUGCCCCUUUUCGUCGAUGUUUGGGUGAUAGAUCUUUGUUUUAAAUGUGAUCUUCGGUGGUUUGAAUGGGUACUCUGCUGGAAAGUUGAUUUCUAUUCUGAAGGCCCCCUUAUCAUAUGGAGGGUUCUCCUUCAUCAGCCUCCUGCUGGCCGCCAUCUUGGAUUUGGUGCUGCUCCUUCCUCC
Molecule: long non-coding RNA, 516 nt
Filed under: Homo sapiens (human)
Lineage: Eukaryota; Metazoa; Chordata; Mammalia; Primates; Hominidae
Description: non-protein coding lnc-DLGAP5-2:1
Source: RNAcentral